ACCGUGGCCUCGACCUCGAGUCCUCGACCUGGAUGCCUCACACAUGACACACUGGCGCGUGCCGCCUGGAGCCUGUCCGAUUCGCCUGUUAGAGAUAAGAUGCCCCGUUGCUGUAGCAAGUGAUUUUGGCUUGAAACGGGGCUCUCGCCAAUGGAGCUGCCGCUCGCCCCACACGCCGCCCUCCUCUCCUGCGGCUCCGCACCCUUCGUCUUCGGGCUCCGCUCCCACUCCGCCGCUCCGAGCCGCCGCGCCUCGCCGCUCCAAGCCCGCAGGAACAAGAACUACCGGAGCGACGCGGACGCCGGCGGCGCCGCGGAGCCCAAAAUCAUCACCCUCGGCCGGCCGGGGAAGAGCCGGCGGCGCCGCAACAGGAAGAAGCAGCCGCAGAAGGAUGAAGCCGACGACGAUGAGGAGGAGGACGACGACGACGAGCGCGACGCGACGAUCCCGGAGGUGGUGACGAACCGGAUGAUGCGGCGCGUGGGGGUGUCGGUGGGCGCGCCACUGGCUCUGGGCGGCGGCUUCUUCCCGGUGUUCUACUACCUCAAGGCGGUGCAGAAGGUGGACGUGCCGACGUGGAUCCCCUUCGGCGUGUCCUUCGUCUUCUUCGGCGCCGCGCUGCUGGGGGUCAGCUACGGCAUCGUGUCGGCGAGCUGGGACCCCGCCAGGGAGGGCUCCCUGCUCGGCUGGACCGAGGCCCGCCGCAACUGGCCCGUCUUCUGGGACUCGCUCCGGGGGCGCUCGCCUCCUCGCCGGGGAUAGGAUAGCUAGAGCUAAUCAAGGCCAGUAAUCCACCCUCUUAUCUUUGCUACAUUUUAUACAGUACUUGUCAUGUGGCCAUUCUUGCAGAGUUGCUGUAGAUGUAGAGUGUUCUUGCGUUGAUUUUUUCAGGCUACAACUCGUUCGUCUGAUAGUACCUCAUUGCAUCGAUCAUGCUACACGCUGGGAGACGGUUCAUCUGUGCGACUGCUCUGCCAAUCCAACAGCACCGCGCCGUCGUCGUGCGGGGCAGCAGCCAUUGCUCGGCUCGGCGUUGUUCCUUCUGCGGGAGUCCAAUGAUGCCGUGCACUCUUACUCUCUUAGUAAGGCAGCCGAUGAGCCUGUUGAAAUUCGUUCAAACGUUUGUUUAAAAUAACACUGUUCAAACACCGUGCACGAUUCAAUUCGUUUUCUCCUUCUCCUUUCCUUUCCCUUAUUGUACUCGUAUCUUAUUGCCUUUUCUUUCGCGCUGCUCAAACCUGCAUAUCUUAUUGCUAGUCUAAUAACGAGCUAGUGACAUCGAUCUCUUGGCUUUGUCAUAAGGAUUAAGGGGAACAGACAAAAGUCCAUCUACAUACAACAUUAGUUCACGUGCACGUGAACUAAUGUUGUAUGUAGAUGGACUUGUUGUCUGUUCAUGUGGUGAACAAAUAAAGGUAACAACCAAGGGAUCAUUCUGAAAUUAGAUUAUGAAAAGAUUUAUGAUAGAGUUAGUUUCGAGUUUUUGGAAGAUCUUUUGUCUUCUAGGGGUUUUGGUGAGAGAUGGAGGAGUUGGAUUAGACAAGUGGUUAGGGGGGGGGGGUCCAAUUUGCAUUAGAAUCAAUGAUGAAAAUGGCGGUUACUUUCGGCCAGGUAAAGGCUUGAGACAAGGUGACCCUCUAUCUCCCUUACUUUUUAACCUCGUUGCUGAUGUCUUCACUAGGAUGCUAAUGAAGGCAGCUACAGAGAGUCUGAUACUCUGAUCACUGGCCUUUUAUCGGAAGUGUGUGAAGGGGGGAAUUAUCAGCCUUCAGUAUGCUAAUAACACCCUCCUCUUCCUCCAAAAUGAUUUGGAUAAAGCUAGAAAUCUAAAGUGGCUUUUAGUCUGCUUUGAGCAGCUUUCAGGCCUAAAAAUUAACUAUGACAAAAGUGACCUAAUCGCUAUUGGUUUGGAUGAAGAAAGAGAGAAUGAUAUGGCCAAAAUCUUUUGCUGUAAAACUGAUCAGCUUCCUUUCAAUUACCUUGGUGUGCCUCUACACCAUAGUAAGCUGAAGAGAGAGCAUUUAGUGGUAGAUAGGUUAUUAAGAGGAUUUCUGGUUGGAAGGGAAUACUCCUAUACUAUGGUGGGAGGCCGACUCUACUAAAAUCUUGCUUGGCAAGUAUUCCAAUUUAUUUAAUGUCUGUAAUUAAGUUUCCAAAGUGGGCCACUAAAACAAUUAACUCACAAUGAGCCAUUUCUUCUGGGGCAACACAGAAGAAAAUCACAAGUACCAUCUAGCUAAUUGGCAAUUGGUCUCUCAACAAAAAGAGCUAGGAGGUCUAGGAGUCCAUAUUUGAAGAACCUUAAUAUGUGCUUGUUAGCUUCCUGGAUCCAGAGAUAUCACCUAAGUGAUUAUGUGCUCUGGAAGGAUAUUGUUGACUACAAAUAUAUGAUCAAUCACCCUAACAUUUUUUGUUGUCUCGACAAUGGAACCUCCCCUUUUUGGAAAGGGGUUUUGUGGGCGGCUCAGGCUGCUAGAAUUGGCUACUGCUGGAAUAUUGGUAAUGGUCGUAGGGUCAGGUUUUGGGAGGAUCAGUGGUUUGGUAGCUCUAGUCUGGCUGUCCAAUACUGGCCUCUUUAUAUCAUUUGUAAUGAAAAAAGGAUAACGGUUGAGAGAGUCUGGGAUAAUGCCAAUUUAAGGCUUACCUUUAGAAGAGCGGUUUCGGAGAGCUAGAUGUUGAUGUGGGAGGAGUUAUGUCAAAUAGCUUGUAACAUGGUGGAUAAUGAUGAUGACAUCAUUUGGAAGUAUGUGUUAUAUUGUGAUCCAAAUUCAGCCCCCCACCUCCCACCCCUGGCGCGGUCCGGUUCAUAUACCCUUUAGGGUUUGCUCCUCGUUGUUUUAUUCCUCUUGUAAGCCGCAGUAGGCGUUGCAAACACACAGCCGAUGUAUCGAAGAUUUGCUGGCUGGCGCCCGUGGUUUUUUUCCCUUCCACAUUGGAGGGGUUUUCAACGUUAAAUCCUCGUGUCUCUUGUGGUUGAUCUUGUUGUCCUUCAUCGUUUGUUCGCCGUCGAUUCUAACAGUAUGAGUCUAAAGGUACAUAUUUGGUUCAUUCCCUUUAUUCUAUUGUGAAUUCUAGGAGGGUAAUUCUAGUCUAUGAGCCUGCAGUUUGGAAGCUAAGUAUUCCACCUAGGAUACAUAUUUUCUGUGGUUGCUAUCCAAAAACAAACUCCUGACUAGAGACAACCUGGGUAGAAGAAGAGAGCUCGAUGAUCAAAUUUGCUUAUUUUGCUGUGAGGCAGAGUCGGUUAACCACCUAUUUUUUGAGUGGUGUGUUGCCAAAUUGGUUUGGCUGGAAAUUUCUGCCAUUGUGGGAAGAAGGAUUGGGAUGGAUUUUGAAUCCAUUGCCCGCUGGUGGGUGAGCAAUAAUAAGAAUGAAAAUCUGAAUUGUGUCUGUGCUACUGUGCUCUGGGCUCUUUGGAAACUAACGAAUGGUUUGUGCUUUUAGGGGAAAACUUGGCGUGGCGAGGAACCAGUACUAGGGGCAGUGGCAAGGAUGCUGGACAGGUUGAGGCCUCUGUUCAAGGAGAAAGAGCUCAGAGAUGGACUGCUUCAUUGGGGCUCUGGCGCAGCUUGGGCCAAGACUGCCGAGAAUUGUGUGGAUGAACAGUUCAGAGUCGGUGACAUCUUCUUCUACGCAGUCCCAUCAGGGCUCCGGCGUUGCACCCUAUUCCGCAGACUUUUGCCGAUCUCUUGUUCUCUUUCUGGUAGCACGAGAGUUGCUCCAGCUAAACUUGUAUCGAGCGGGCAGGCUUAAAACACUUCUCUUUCACGCUCUAAAAAUCGUGUACAGAAACCUUUUCUCUAAAAAAAAGUUGACCUGACC
Panicum virgatum (switchgrass) is the source of this 3822-nucleotide RNA transcript. It is a transcript of the gene named protein PAM68, chloroplastic-like, with no coding region annotated. The transcript is spliced from 2 exons. The record is from RefSeq and is a predicted model, not a curated record. NCBI's taxonomy places the organism in Eukaryota, Viridiplantae, Streptophyta, Magnoliopsida, Poales, Poaceae.